CCUACGGGAGGCAGCAGUGAGGAAUAUUGGUCAAUGGACGCAAGUCUGAACCAGCCAUGCCGCGUGCAGGAAGACGGCUCUAUGAGUUGUAAACUGCUUUUGUACGAGGGUAAACGCAGAUACGCGUAUCUGUCUGAAAGUAUCGUACGAAUAAGGAUCGGCUAACUCCGUGCCAGCAGCCGCGGUAAUACGGAGGAUUCAAGCGUUAUCCGGAUUUAUUGGGUUUAAAGGGUGCGUAGGCGGUCGGAUAAGUUAGAUGUGAAAUCCCGGGGCUCAACUUCGGAAGUGCCUCCGAUACUGUUCGGCGAGAGAGUAGUUGCGGUAGGCGGAAUGUAUGGUGUAGCGGUGAAAUGCUUAGAGAUCGUACAGAACACCGAUUGCGAAGGCAGCUUACCAAGCUACUUCUGACGUUGAGGCACGAAAGCGUGGGGAGCAAACAGGAUUAGAUACCCCAGUAGUC
Molecule: ribosomal RNA, 460 nt
Filed under: uncultured bacterium
Lineage: Bacteria
Description: partial 16S ribosomal RNA
Rfam family: Bacterial small subunit ribosomal RNA
Source: RNAcentral